Molecule: microRNA, 22 nt
Filed under: Branchiostoma floridae (Florida lancelet)
Lineage: Eukaryota; Metazoa; Chordata; Leptocardii; Amphioxiformes; Branchiostomatidae
Description: bfl-miR-4885
Source: miRBase by way of RNAcentral
GGCUAUAUUCUUAAGACGUUGU